This is an RNA transcript of Artibeus jamaicensis (Jamaican fruit-eating bat), 1095 nucleotides long. RefSeq lists it as uncharacterized. NCBI's taxonomy places the organism in Eukaryota, Metazoa, Chordata, Mammalia, Chiroptera, Phyllostomidae. The record is from RefSeq and is a predicted model, not a curated record. The transcript has 4 exons.
GCGCGCGGCGAGGGGGGCGGGACGCCGGCGGGCGGCCGCGCGGGCGACCGAAGUGCGGCUCGGGGCAGCAAAUCUAGAGCACAGAGGGGCGGAACGUCGCCGGUCGCUGCCGAACCGGACCCGAGAGGCUCUGACGACACAACACGGCUGCGACGUGCUCCCGUUCUGACGUCAUUUUUCCCCGCAUGGUCGUGAUGUAUUUCUUCUCGGAUGUCACCUUGUCUGCAUGGUUGUGACGUGUCCCCGCUCUGACGUCAUCUUCGCAUACAGUGUGGACGUUUUCCGGCUCCAAUGACACCCAAUCAGCUAGGGAAAGCACAAGCUGCCCAGUGCCACACCCCUGGCCUCUCCCGACCCCUCCUUGCGGGGUCCUGGGGCACUAAGGCGUGAGGACAAGGGCCCCAUGCCCCUGCACACAACCCACCCACUGUCCUCCGGAGUCUGCUUUCAGGCUGAGGUGGCUGAGAGCUGGGCCCAGCACCUUCUUCCCCAGUCUGCAGCGAUCACGGAGAAGUUCCGAAGGUGAAAGCUGAUGAGGACACCACCCAAGGACAAGCCCUGGCCCCUGGAUCUGGCGAUGCGGCUGCGACUGCCCUGGAGCUGGAGGAAUGUAUGCUUUUAGGGAGAGAAAAGCAUUGCCUGUAUGCGUGUGGACCUGGGGACGAACACACAACCCAGGUACGUGCCAGGACCAGGAAUCGAACCUGCAACACUUCAGUGUAUGGGAUGACGCCCGAAGCACGGAGCCACCGUUGCCAACGCUGCUUUUGUCUUCCCAACAGUCUGGAAUAUGCAGCAGCCUUACUUGAAAGCUAAGGCAUUUCUUGUACAGAUAACAGAAGCACUGAAUGCUGGCCUGAAGAAGAAUGAACCAUCUUUCCUUUGAACAUUCAAGAAUGUUCAGGGCCCAGCAGCAGUAAGGCCUGCCUGAGUGUGGUCAGUGGGCUAAUAAAAUGGGUGUAAUAAUUCAGAGUUUUAAUGUGAACAUUUUGCCUAAAGCAUCAUAUGGCGUGCUGGAGUGUGAUGUUACAGAAUAACAUGCCUGUGAUUUUACAAUAAAGGCUUUUGUAAUAAAAGGGCAUUAUUUGUGCUGGA